Molecule: ribosomal RNA, 465 nt
Filed under: uncultured Klebsiella sp.
Lineage: Bacteria; Pseudomonadati; Pseudomonadota; Gammaproteobacteria; Enterobacterales; Enterobacteriaceae
Description: bacterial SSU rRNA
Rfam family: Bacterial small subunit ribosomal RNA
Source: RNAcentral
CCUACGGGCGGCAGCAGUGGGGAAUAUUGCACAAUGGGCGCAAGCCUGAUGCAGCCAUGCCGCGUGUGUGAAGAAGGCCUUCGGGUUGUAAAGCACUUUCAGCGGGGAGGAAGGCGGUGAGGUUAAUAACCUCAUCGAUUGACGUUACCCGCAGAAGAAGCACCGGCUAACCCCGUGCCAGCAGCCGCGGUAGUACGGAGGGUGCAAGCGUUAAUCGGAAUUACUGGGCGUAAAGCGCACGCAGGCGGUCUGUCAAGUCGGAUGUGAAAUCCCCGGGCUCAACCUGGGAACUGCAUUCGAAACUGGCAGGCUAGAGUCUUGUAGAGGGGGGUAGAAUUCCAGGUGUAGCGGUGAAAUGCGUAGAGAUCUGGAGGAAUACCGGUGGCGAAGGCGGCCCCCUGGACAAAGACUGACGCUCAGGUGCAAAAGCGUGGGGAGCAAACAGGAUUAGAUACCCGUGUAGUC